Molecule: ribosomal RNA, 253 nt
Filed under: uncultured bacterium
Lineage: Bacteria
Description: partial 16S ribosomal RNA
Rfam family: Bacterial small subunit ribosomal RNA
Source: RNAcentral
UACGUAGGGUGCAAGCGUUAAUCGGAAUUACUGGGCGUAAAGCGUGCGCAGGCGGCUUUGCAAGACAGAUGUGAAAUCCCCGGGCUUAACCUGGGAACUGCAUUUGUGACUGCAUGGCUGGAGUGCGGCAGAGGGGGAUGGAAUUCCGCGUGUAGCAGUGAAAUGCGUAGAUAUCGGAAGGAACAUCAGUGGCGAAAGCGACUUCCUGGACCAAUACUGACGCUCAUGUGCGAAAGCGUGGGGAGCAAACAGG